UUGCACCUCCAUAGAACCACAAAGUGAAAUAUAUUCUUUGAGUACUCGUUAUAGCAUUAAAUCUCAAUGCACAGCACAUUAAGGACAGAGAUCCUACAUGAGGAGUAAGUGCACAGUGACUCCUGUUGUUGACUUUACCAAUUGACACUCCUGUCUAUGGCAUCAGUAAUCUCCCUAUGCACCAGUCAUGAGUUUCCAAGGCUAUGGAAGCCCUCUGAGUUCUCCGAUUCUUAUCUUGUUUAGACAAGGUCAUAGUCAAAGUGGAGGUUCUCUCCUCCCUUCAGAGAAAGGUACCUCCUUCUUUGAAGACCUGUUCUUUCCACUGGGAUCUCACUCACAGAGAUCUUUUGCCAGAGUGUCUUGGCUUUCCAUGCCUGAAAUACUCUCAUGGGCUUUUCAGCCAGAUCCGAAUGCCUUUAGGGCUGAUUCUGAGGCCAGAGUGCUAUUUAGGACAUCUGCCAUUCUAUGAGUCUGCUGAGUAUCUCACUUCCCAUGUUGGAUCACUCUCCCCUUUAUUUAUUCUAUCGGUUAGUGUUAGCAGGUACUAGACUUGUUUAUGUGCUCCCUUUGACUCUUAGAUAUUCUUAAUAUGUGGAGAAGCAUGAUGAAUUCUGCAUGAUCUCAAUCCCACAAAUCGGAUCUUGUGUAUACACACAUAGGACCGGGAAGGACAUGUCAGAUUAUACUACUUGUGAUUUUGGGGGACUUUGUUCUUUGCUUCCUAUGUUUUUCUAUUUCCAAUAAUACACUUAUUAACUUUUUAAAAAUAAGUUAUUUUUAAAAUGCAAAUAAGAAAGAAAAAUAAAACAUAAGUCUAUUUUGGCUCACAAAAUGUCAAGAUCCAGCUAUGUUUUUUUUUUCCCGGUACACAUUUUUCUAGGGACUUUUUGAAGACCUUCGUAAGCAUGGAUAAAGCUUUGUGCAGCAAAAUAAAUUUGUCUUUUGAUUCCAUUUUGCAUGAACUUUUUGAAAUAUCCUCGUAGCAUCCUUCUAAAGUAACUGCUAAAAAUCUAACCAAACUUGGAAGUCUAAGGGAUGGGAAAGUGCAUUGUCCAGAGGAUGGUGGGAACCAAGAGAAGCCUUGCUUCCAUAGCAGGAAGCAAACAAUGGAGGUGGAGACUGAAAAAACAUGAUGCAGCAAUAAAUGAUACAAACAAGGCAAGGAGGGGAGGAAGAGAGUGGGAAAUGCUGUUAUUUUUUUCUUUUGUCAUGAACUUUGUGUAACAAGGUGAUUCUUUAAAUUUGGUGUAUGUUUUAUCUUUGAUCAACAUUUAAACUUAGAAGCAUCCUUUGCCACACAAUCCAGAUAUGAUUUUUCCAUCUAAUCUAAGUAUAUUUUGCUGUCUUUCACAAAACUGCAAGAAUUGAAUAGUUUCCUUCAAUAAUUUUUUUCCCUUUAUAUUAUGUUUUCACCCUUUUUACAACCCCAAACAGUUUCACUCUGGAUCCCAGCUUCUGUUUUCCUAAAUUCCCAGUCAUUUCAUCUUUGUUUCUUUCUUUUGGUGGUGUAUGUGUGCACAUGUGUAUAAGUGCAUAUGUGUGUUGGCAUGUAUAUGUGUGGGUAGUGUGCAUGCAUGUGUAUGUGUAUAUACCACACUAAAUACUUUUCGUUUUUCCCUUCCUCCUAACGAAACAGGGCCCCCACAGUUGAAUGCAUAGUCUUAAUCUCUAGCCAAUGCCUGGCAGGAGGAGGUACUCAAUUCAUGUGUAAAUGAAUGAGGCCCCUAACUGAGCACUCUCCACAACAGAAACCUGGAAGUUACGACAGUGGUCAGGGCUGAAAGAGCAGGGGAGAGGAAUGCCCCUGGCUAAGUCGAUCACUUCAGCCCUUGUGAAGGACUCUGGCUGUUUGGCUCAACAUCAAGCUGUGUGAGGCCAAACCCGAGGUUGCACCAGGCUGAUGGCCAAAAUGGGCAACGAAGUGGCCAAAGCUGAAGCCAAAGAAAGACCGUAUUCAACACAGGCCAGCAAUAAGCUCAGUGAAAAUACUGGGGAGGAAGAAGUAACAGUCACUAGAUGCUGAACCCACUGCUCCGCAGACAGACAAGGAGAGCAAGGAACCUCCAGAAUGAAUUCUGCAGAGAGCAGUGCAGUGUACCAAAGACAAAUCAAGGAUUCUCACUCCAGCAAGUCAGGCAAAUUCCUGUUAAUUUGGGCCCUUGAUGCCAGGAACUGGUGAGUUAGGAGAUUCAGAGUUUGAAAGGAACUAUUUCAUUUCACAGAGCCGCGAGAGACCUUAGAAAUCAUCCAAGCCCAGAAACUUUCAAAAACGCUUUGAUUAAUGUCCACCUGUACCACUAGCCUUCCAGCUGCAGGGCUGCAGACACCAAAUCAGGUAGGUGUCUGAUUUAGUUCUCUGUGCAUUCUCAGCUUGAAUGGGAGAACCUAGAAUACAAGAGGCACCCGGUUAAUACUGGAGAGUUUGUGGUGUUAGUGAAAUCCCUGAGAGCUCAUCCCUGCGCUCCUCAGGAGGAAUUUUGGCUGGAUAUUCUGAAGGGUGGGGAAAAUUGAUGUGUUUGUUUAUAUGUCUGCUUGUUUUAGUUAAUUUUUUAGUUUAUUUAUUUGAAAGGCAAAGAAACAGAGAGAAAGAGGGAGAGGCAGAGAGCAAGGGUUCACCCAUUCACUGGUUCACUCUCCAGAUGGCUACAGCAGCCAGGGCUGGACCAAGCAGGAGGCAAGAAUUCCAUCUAGGUCUCCUAUAUGGGUGGCAGGGGCCCAAGUACUUGAGCCAUCAUCUGCUGGCUUCCCCAUUGCAUUAACAGGGAGCUGGAUCAGAAGCAGGGAAGCCGGGACUCGACAAGCACUCCAGUAUGGGAUGCCAGCAUUGCAAGCAACAGCUUAACAUGCUGCUACACAACACCAGUCCAGGAUUUUUCUGUAAUGGACAAGAAGAAACAUUUCAGUUGUCCUAUCUUCUAUCACCACAGAAUCAGAUGUUGGGAAGAAGAUGUCACUUAUGAUGUCCACAGGCAGAUUCAGUUAAAAGAAGAAAUCAUGGGUGGGCAUUUAGCAUGGUGCCUGAAUUUGAGUCUUGACUCCUGACUCCAGCUUCCAAUGAAUAUGCAUCCUAGAAAGCAGCAGUGAUGGCUGAAGUCACUGGGCUCUUUGCACCCAUGUGCAAGCCCUGGAUUGAGUUCUAGCUCCCAGUUCCCAGCUCCAGCUUUCCCACCCCCACCCAAGAAGUUGUGGGCAUUUGUGGAGCAAAGCCAAAAGGAUUUUGCAGUGCGUUUUUCCUGCUACAAUAUCCUCCAUCCAUCUGCCUUUCCCUCCCCUGGCCUGUCGAGAGCUCAAAUACAAGAUCAACUCUCAAUGACUGCAUGCUCUUUGUUAAUGAAGAUGAUAGUUUUCUGGGCUCCUUGCUCCCUUCCUCACUCUGGUUGAAGUGGACAAUCUAAGAAGAAGCCUGAACACUGUUGAUACCCUUUCCCCUUAUCAUUUAAUUUAAGAUGCCAACUUCUCUAGAUUUCAAUGGAUUCUCUCCUACUUGUCUGGAGCCAAAUACAGAAAUCUCCCCAGAGACCAAAAUGUUCUAGAAUUUGUUCAUUUCUCCUUAUGAAGGUUCACUACUGAAAUUCAAUGAAGAAUAAUGGAAGAGAAUACAUGCAACACUCCACUGCCACUAAGAGUCAUCCUGCCUGCCUUGCAACCAUUUUCCUCAUUAGAGCUGUAUGUUUUUGGAGGCACCUAUAGCACAUGCCACAUAAAGUGAGGUGGAGAGCCACAUCCCAGGGCUCAUCAGGUGGGCUCCAUGGGCCUUAGGGAAGUCAUAAAUACCUUGACUCUGUAAUCAUAACUUUGGACUUCCAGGCACAAUUGGCUUAUUCUGGGCGCAUGAACUGUAAUUUUAAUUAGAUUCUCAGAAUGGGCCGUGUGUAGUUGAGGUCUCCAGAAGGCAGGCUGAGAGAGUUUGGACUGCAAAAGUAUAUUGGAGAGUUCUGAACAAAAAUUGGGUAAGGAGAGAUGUCGUACCAUGAUGCAGAUCUGAAACAGUAUCAUCUAGCCUCUCACAUGGAGCUCCAAAGCCAAAGGGUGCCUAUCUCUAGAGUUGAAGACUGGAAAAAAUGUUGCUCCCAUUCUACAGUUUAAAAAAAAAUGUUUCCACUCCUUAGUUCUCAGACCUAUGUGUUUUUCCUGUUAGGGAUAUCACAUCAUAUAAAAGUCUGUAAUUUAGUGCAGGUGUUUCAUCUUGGGGAAUCGUGUCCAACUUCACAGUGUACUGCAUCUGAGCUUUAGUGGCAACUUUAGCAGGCCAUCCAACAUUCUUUCAGACUGACAGCUUCUGAAUGCUAAGGUGGAUCUGAUGCACAGAACUACUUAUUUCCAGUGGUGUAAAGUGGUUCUCCUGCUCUGAUACAGUGAUAUAUGGGAUCCCUGGAUGGUGAAUCCACCACUCCAUCAGGAUAUUCCAUUCCUAUCUAGGAUGUUAGAAGGCCAGGAAAGUGUGUUGCCAUGGGGGCAAGCAUUUGGUCUAAUGGUUAGCACACUUGCAUCCCAUAUCAGAGUUACCUGGGCUUGAAUCCCAGAACUUACAACUAAUGCAGACUCUGGAAUGCAGCAGGUGAUGGCUCAAAGUAGUUGAGUUGCUGCCAUCCACAUAGGAGACCUGAAUGGAGUUCCCAGAUCCCAUCUUUUGCCUGACCCACCCACUGCUGUAGCAGGCAUUUUGGGAGUGAAUUGGUAGAUCAGGACUAGUUGAGUUGCUGCCAUCCACAUAGGAGACCUGAAUGGAGUUCCCAGAUCCCAUCUUUUGCCUGACCCACCCACUGCUGUAGCAGGCAUUUUGGGAGUGAAUUGGUAGAUCAGGACUUUCUCUCUCUCUACCUCUCAAAGUUUAAAAAAAAAAAAGUCUUCUACAAAAAAUCUUCUCUGUAAAUAUAAGAAAAAGCUAAACAAACUUUAAAACCAUGAUGAGAUUACAGGGCAAAGAAAUAAUCUACAAUCCAAGGAAACACAGUGUCUCCAUGGGGAGAUGGAUCCAAGGUAUGGCUCAAUUGUGGCAGAACACUGGAGGAAGAGAUGCCAGGUACUACACAAGAAAGUGGGAAGAUUUUUAAUUUUAUCAAGUAGUUGAACUACUUAGUAGGCUAUCUGGGAAUACAGAACUGUAGGAGAGGUAGACCCCAAAGACCCACACAGCACUGAGUUGCAUUACAGAAGAAUCCCAGCUUAGGAUGGCCAUUGCUCUAGAGGGAGAUGCUAUGUUUAUUAUACAGGAAAAUAAGCAAAUCUUGCCUUUGCUUCAGAAGAUAAUUCAGCACUGUCAGGGCCACUUCUCACAAGACAGAGGAAUGUGAGAAACCCAUAGACAACGGCUUCCCAAUACAACCCAGCUGUUCCAUUUUUAGGACUAAUUCUAUAGAUAUAAUUGUAUAUGUGAAAAGGGAUAUUCACUAAAUCACUUUUUUAAAGCAAAAUAUCAUGAACAUCAUAAAUGACAAAAAUAGAGAACUGAGUAAACAAAUUAUGGUACAUAAACAAUGGAAUAGAAUACUACGCAGUAUCAAAUUGGAGAAAAAAAUCAGUUCUACUUGUGCCCAUAUGAACAGUCUCUAUAUUAAGUUUAAGGGGAAAAGCAAGGGGGCUGGCACUGUGGCACAGUGAGUUGAGCCACCGCCUGCAAUGCUGCCAUGCCAUAUGAACAUCUAUUAGAGUCCCACAAUCCAACUCUUAGCUAACACACCCAGGAAAGCAGCAGAAGAGAGCCCAAGUGCUUGGACCCAUGGCACACACAUGGGAGACUCAGAGUUUCAGGCUCCUGGCUUUGGCCUGGCCCAGCCCAGGCCAUUGCUGCCACUUGGGGAAUGAACCAGCAAAUGGAAGAUCUCUCUCUCUCUCUCUCUCUCUCUCUCUCUCAAACCCUGCCUUUCAAAUAAAUAAAUCUUUAAAAGAAAAAGCAAGGUCAGGACUGUGGCAUAGCAGGUUAAAACCCCAACCAGCAGCGUCAGCAUGCCAUGUGGGCGCCGGCUCCAGUCCUGGUACUCCACUUCCAAUCCAGCUCCCUGCUAAUGCACCUGGGAAAGCAGCGGAGGAUGGCCCAAAUCCUUGGGCCCCCUCACCCAUGAGGGAGACCCAGAAGCUCCUGGCUCCUGGUUUCAGAUCAGCUCAGCUCAGCUCCAGCCAUUGGUCAUUUGGGGAGUGAAACAGCAAAUGGAACACCUCUCUCUCUCUCUCUGUCCCUUCCUCUCUCUGUAACUCUGCCUUUCAAAUAAAUAAAAUAAAUCUUUUAAAAAAAGAAGAAAAGCCGUAGGACAGGAUGCAUAGUAAAUAAUGUUUAUAUACAAAAAAGAAUUUUAUAGACAUAGUUUAUAUAUGCAUAAAAUACUUCUAAAAAAAGACAUUUAAAACUAUUAAUAGGUGCUGGUGUUAUGAAACAACUGGUGACACCAGCUUCCCCUAUCAGAAGGCCAGGUCGAGUCCCAGCAGCUCCACUUCUGAUCCAGCUCCCUGCUAAUGCACCUAGGAAGGCUGUGGAGGGUGGCCCAGGUGCUUGGGCCCCUGCCACUCACAUGGGAAACCCAGAUGGAGUUCCUGGCCUCUGGAUUCAGCCUGACCCAGAUCUAGUUGUUGCAGCCAUUUGGAGAGCGAACCAGUAGAUGGAAGAUCUCUCUCUUUCUCUCUCUGUUUCUCCCUCUUUCUCUCUGUUACUCUGCCUUUCAAAUAAAUAAAUGUCUUAAGAAUAAAAAAUAACAAUAGUUGUCCCUGGGGAAAGAAAUAGAGAUGCUGGUUUGGGAGAGGCUUGUUUUACAGUACAAACAUACUCAGACAUUUAAAAAUUUUAAACAUAUACCUAUGUUAACUAUUCAAAAAUGAUUAAUGUACUUCCAAGAAAUACUAAAAUUUCAAGUCUUCUGAUAACUUUUUGUUGCUAUGGAUGAGAUGUUAGAAUUAAUGGACCUUUGUUAGGACAACACCUUGAUAAGUUGUUCUGAUGAUGAAGGUAAAACCCAUUGAUCGUUGUCCAGGAGCAACAAUGGCAAAGCAACUUGGUUUUUUGCUUUCCAAGGGGGGAUUUCAAAUUUUCAGAGAAAACAGGAAAGGAAGGGUUCAUAGAGCUCUUAAACUGAGAAGAAAAAAAAACAAAAAAACAAAAACAAAAAAAAAAAACAAGAGCUCAUGAUCACACAGUCUGGCCAUAAUGAUAUCUAGAGAGAAAGAUUGCCAGUUAACGAUACCUGGGUAUAUCACCUAAUAUUCAGCUUUUGUUUUGUUUUCAUGAUAUAAAUGGCCUUAAUUGGUUGCAACACGAAAUGUGAGAAAGGAGGGGAAUAUGAUCACUUUGAAUUCUGUCACCACCCUCCAAAAAUAAUACCCAAUUUUAAGCUAUUUCCUUUUCUGUGUUCUACUAUAAUCCACUCUAUCAUGCCUAGACUGUAAGCAAAAGUCCAUGAUAUAUAGAAAGAUUUUUCUUGAUAGUUCUUUGUGGACUGUAUGAGAAAGGAUUGUUAUGGAUGCUCUUCUUAGCAGAUAAAAUUUAACAAAUACACCAUCGCCAAUAAUAGGACAACCUACUAUGAGAUCCCUCAUACAAUACAACAAGAAAACCACAGUGUCACCUGUUCUUGCCAAAACUGUUUAACCUACAUCUAAUCAGUUAAUAAAAAAUACUUGGGGCUGGCGCUGUGGUGUAGCAGGUAUAUCUGCCCCCUGCAGUACCGGCACUCCAUAUGGGUGCUGGCUCAAAUCCCGGCUGCUCCACUUCUUAUCCAUUUCUCUGCUAUGGCCUGGGAAAGCAGUAAAAGAUGGCCCAAGUCCUUGGGCCCCUGCAGCUACGUGGAAGAUCUGGUAGAAGCUCCUGGCUCCUGAAUUCAGCCUGACUCAGCCCUGGCCAUCAAUGCUAUUUGGGGACUGAACCAACUGAUGGAAGACCUCUCUCUCUCUCUCUCUCUGCCUCUGCCCCUCUGUAAAUCUGCCUUUCAAAUAAAUAAAGAAAUCUUAAAAAAAGAAAGAAAGAAAAUGCUAGGGAUUGAGAAAGCAGUUAAAUGAUACCUCCAAGAAUAUAGACAGAUCUAGAAUGUGGGACAUUCUGUAAGACCACUGGGGUAGCAUCUUCAAAAGUGACUGCCAUAGGAUAAAACUGUGGGGAGACUAUUGUGGUAUAAAAGAGAUUAGAGAAACAGCAGUGUGCUAUGAUUUUUAAGACAAUUUUUAAGAUUUAUUUGUUAAUUUGAAAGGCAAAGUUAUAGAAAGAGAAGGAAGAGAGAGAGAGAAUCUUGCAUCUGCUGGUUCACUCCUCAAAUGACUGCAACUGCUAGGCUGGCCCACACCAAAGCCAGCAGCCUGGAACUCCAUCCAGGUCUCUCACACAGGUGGCUGGGGCCCAGGUAUUCAAGCCAUCCUCUGCUUCUUUCCCAGGUGCAUUAGCAGGGAACUGAAUCAGAAGUGAAGCAGCCAGAACUCAAACCAGCCCUCAUGUGGGAUGCCAGCAUCCCAGGCAGAUGCUGAACCCACUGUGCCACAACACCAGCCCCAGUGUGUGCUAUGAUUUUCAUGUGAUUUAUUACACCCACCACCCAGAGAUUCAUGUUUUGGAGGCUUGGUCCUCCAGGUGGUCACAAUGUGGGGUCUUUAAGAGGAGAGGCUCUGCGGGAAGUGGCUAUGUCAUGGGGACACUGUCCUCAAAAGAGAUUGAUACUGGUCUCACCAAAUCAGGCUGUUCUCUCAAGAGUUUUCAUAAUUUAUUUUCUUUCUUUCUUUUCUUUUUUUUUUUUUUUU
Oryctolagus cuniculus (rabbit) is the source of this 8712-nucleotide non-coding RNA. The record is from RefSeq and is a predicted model, not a curated record. NCBI's taxonomy places the organism in Eukaryota, Metazoa, Chordata, Mammalia, Lagomorpha, Leporidae.